UUAACACAUGCAAGUCGAACGGUAACAUUGGAGCUUGCUCCAGAUGACGAGUGGCGGACGGGUGAGUAAUGCAUAGGAAAUUGCCGAUUAGUGGGGGACAACAUGUGGAAACGCAUGCUAAUACCGCAUACGCCCUACGGGGGAAAGGUGGCCAAUCCUUGGAAGCUACCGCUAAUUGAUGUGCCUAUGUCUGAUUAGCUAGUUGGUGGGGUAAUGGCCCACCAAGGCGACGAUCAGUAGCUGGUCUGAGAGGAUGAUCAGCCACACUGGGACUGAGACACGGCCCAGACUCCUACGGGAGGCAGCAGUGGGGAAUAUUGGACAAUGGGGGCAACCCUGAUCCAGCAAUACCGCGUGUGUGAAGAAGGCUCGAGGGUCGUAAAGCACUUUCAAUAGUGAAGAUUGGAAUACAGGUUAAUACCCUGUGUUUUUGACGUUAACUAUACAAGAAGCACCGGCUAACUCAGUGCCAGCAGCCGCGGUAAUACUGAGGGUGCAAGCGUUAAUCGGAAUUACUGGGCGUAAAGCGCGCGUAGGCGGUAAGUUAAGUUGGAUGUGAAAUCCCUGGGCUCAACCUAGGAACUGCAUUCAAAACUGGCUCACUAGAGUAUGGUAGAGGUAAGUGGAAUUCCAGGUGUAGCGGUGAAAUGCGUAGAUAUCUGGAGGAACAUCAGUGGCGAAGGCGACUUACUGGGCCAAUACUGACGCUGAGGUGCGAAAGCAUGGGUAGCAAACGGGAUUAGAUACCCCGGUAGUCCAUGCCGUAAACGAUGUCAACUAGCCGUUGGGCCCGUUAGGGUUUAGUGGCGCAGCUAACGCAUUAAGUUGACCGCCUGGGGA
This 840-nucleotide ribosomal RNA is filed under the name uncultured bacterium. Its description in RNAcentral is "bacterial SSU rRNA". It matches the Rfam family "Bacterial small subunit ribosomal RNA", at positions 48 to 879 of the family's 1533-position model. The record is from RNAcentral.